AACGAACGCUGGCGGCAGGCCUAACACAUGCAAGUCGAGCGCGCCCUUCAGGGUGAGCGGCGGACGGGUGAGUAACGCGUGGGAACGUGCCCUUCUCUGCGGAAUAGCCUCGGGAAACUGAGAGUAAUACCGCAUACGCCCUUUGGGGGAAAGAUUUAUCGGAGAAGGAUCGGCCCGCGUUGGAUUAGGUAGUUGGUGGGGUAAUGGCCCACCAAGCCGACGAUCCAUAGCUGGUUUGAGAGGAUGAUCAGCCACACUGGGACUGAGACACGGCCCAGACUCCUACGGGAGGCAGCAGUGGGGAAUCUUAGACAAUGGGGGCAACCCUGAUCUAGCCAUGCCGCGUGAGUGAUGAAGGCCUUAGGGUUGUAAAGCUCUUUCAGCUGGGAAGAUAAUGACGGUACCAGCAGAAGAAGCCCCGGCUAACUCCGUG
Molecule: ribosomal RNA, 433 nt
Filed under: uncultured bacterium
Lineage: Bacteria
Description: partial 16S ribosomal RNA
Rfam family: Bacterial small subunit ribosomal RNA
Source: RNAcentral